AGCAGCCGCGGUAAAUUCCAGCUCCAAUAGCGUAUAUUAAAGUUGUUGCAGUUAAAAAGCUCGUAGUUGAAUUUCGGGGUUAGUAGGUUGGUCAUGCCUCUGGUAUGUACUGGUCUCACUGAUUCCUCCUUCCUGACGAACCGUAAUGCCAUUAAUUUGGUGUUGCGGGAAAUUUGGACUGUUACUUUGAAAAAAUUAGAGUGUUUAAAGCAAGCUAACGCUUGAAUACAUUAGCAUGGAAUAAUGAAAUAGGACGUUCGAUCCUAUUUUGUUGGUUUCUAGGAUUGACGUAAUGAUUAAUAGGGAUAGUUGGGGGCAUUAGUAUUCAAUUGUCAGAGGUGAAAUUCUUGGAUUUAUUGAAGACUAACUACUGCGAAAGCAUUUGCCAAGGAUGUUUUCA
Molecule: ribosomal RNA, 400 nt
Filed under: uncultured Glomeromycotina
Lineage: Eukaryota; Fungi; Glomeromycota
Description: SSU rRNA
Rfam family: Eukaryotic small subunit ribosomal RNA
Source: RNAcentral